Molecule: transfer RNA, 84 nt
Filed under: Myxacorys californica WJT36-NPBG1
Lineage: Bacteria; Bacillati; Cyanobacteriota; Cyanophyceae; Leptolyngbyales; Leptolyngbyaceae
Also listed under: 3 other names
Description: tRNA-Ser
Rfam family: tRNA
About the family: Transfer RNA (tRNA) molecules are approximately 80 nucleotides in length.
Source: RNAcentral
GGAGAGGUGGCAGAGUGGUCGAUAGCGUUCGACUUGAAAUCGAAUGACCCAAAAGGUCCGUGGGUUCGAAUCCCACCCUCUCCG